CACCGCUGAUCGCACGGCCCUCGUGCCGGCGCGGUG
This 36-nucleotide ribosomal RNA is filed under the name synthetic construct. RNAcentral's name for it is "partial 18S ribosomal RNA". The record is from RNAcentral.